UAGAUUUAAAGUGAAAGGAAGAUAAGGGGGGGGAAAGUAGGUUUACCUCCGAAGUCUAAAUGUACAGUAUCUCUACAGCAAGAGUUUUAGAAGGACGUGUAUAAACAUGAACUUCAUCCGAAAACAGGCUGGCAAAGAAAUGAGGAAAAGAAAGGUAAGCAUAUGAAGAUGUCCAGCUUGGCUGGGGGAAAACACAAAAGAUCCUUCGAUCUACCUUGUUUGGAUGCCCUUCGCCGAAUCUUCAUUUUGGGGAAGGAAGGCCAGGAGUAGUUAAAAGAUUCAACCUUUUAAAAGGAAUUUGCAAGACAGUGACUGAUCAAGCUGCCUGAAGCUUUGCUGAUACGGAGGGUUCCUGCAUCCCUGCUUGGAGUUGGGAUUCCAGUACUGCAGGUGUGAGAGCUGCCUUGGCUUCAGUAAACCUGAAGAAACCAACUGGGAAGGUGAGUGCACAUCUGCAUCCCACUGGACCAUCCAGGAGCCAUAACUGGUAUCUGCUGGUUGUCCAAGCCAUGUCUCCAGUAGCUUCAUAUUACACUCUACUUGCCUCUAAAUAACUCAAGGGAUAAGUCUGGGGCCCAAGUGAACCUUGAAGAGAUAUAAAAUACAUGGGGAGGAAAUUUAGAAAGGUGCCCUAGGACCUUUUGAGCAGAUGAGAAUUCUCAGGUCUACAGAAAGAGUGAAGAGUGACGUCCAUCCUGCUGAGGGAGUUCUUGAUCCCUCCAAAAGGACACUCCCAUCAGCCGCACCCCCCUCCCAGCACACAUCUGGCCUUUUCCUGAGGCCAGACGGGUAGAUCUCAUAGGUUCAGCUCCACAGAGACACGUGGUUAUCAGUGUAGGACAGCGGUACACUUGAGAACGCUUGGGCCCGGCAGAAUGACGUUCCCAGUUUCAAUUCCACUGUUCACCUUCCACCAGUGGCUCAGUUGCUUUCCUGAAAUGAAUCUGGCAGUGCCUCUUCAUAGGAAUUACAAGGUAACCAUGACAAACUUCAAGCCAGCAUUUGGCAAGAAAAAGCUCUGAUGACUUGGUUGUUUUUUUAGAUUUUAAAUGGAAUCCUGUCCCUAAAGUCAUAAUAUUAUGACUGAUGCUUCAAAGAAACUUUGCCUGGAUAGGUUUUAAAAAGUAGACAAGGUUUCCAGGAAGGAAUAUUUUCUUCUUGUCCACAGUAUACCUGGUCUGUGAUAUCCUCAUAAGUGCAGGAAAAGCAAUAUUUUGGAACAUACCCAAAUCUAGGUUCUCCUGGUCCUCAUGUUCACUCGGUUGAACCUCCAGGCUUUUGACACACUAAGAAAGAUAAAGUC
Non-coding RNA from Ictidomys tridecemlineatus (thirteen-lined ground squirrel), 1303 nucleotides. NCBI's taxonomy places the organism in Eukaryota, Metazoa, Chordata, Mammalia, Rodentia, Sciuridae. The record is from RefSeq and is a predicted model, not a curated record.